GACGGAUCCAUCCGGCCAGGGGGAGGGGCCGAGCCCGGCUGCAUGUAACACCCGGAAGGCGGCGGAGGACAGCAAGGUGGCUGGCCGGCAGGCCAAUGGCGGCCAACGCCACUUCCGGCCGCCCUCCGAGCAUCGCUCUUCGGCAACCCGAAGCCACAGGAUGGAGGAGGGGGAUCCCAGCAAAGAUCCCAGUUUCUGACCUGUAGCAUAGUCCCUCUCUCUGAAGAACUUCCUGUAAUAUUUUUUGCUAGGAAGAGUUUGAAGUUUGAAAUCCCAGAAUGAGGAAAUUCAUCCAGCUUGGAGACUUCCAAUCCCUUCAUUGUGCAGAAGGUUGCUAAUGCUCUCAGGAGAAGCCCUUCACCAAGAGAAUACUUCCACAUAGAGUCCUCUCCAUUGAGACUAAGGAAACAUGCUAUGUCAUGUAGCCACAGCAGCCUUUGCAGCUGUUGAAGGCAGCAAGACUUGCAUGGCAAUCAGAAGACACAGAACCAAGACUCAUAUCCAGUUAUAAGAUGGCAGAUGGGACACACACUCAUCAGGCUUAGUGAGCAGCCAAUCCAGAGGGAACCAUACUCAGCCCUAGGGGCUGGGCGCGGUGGCUCUCGCCUGUAAUCCCAGCACUUUGGGAGGCCAAGGCGGAUGGAUCACCUGAGGUCACGAGUUCAAGACCAGCCUGACCAACAUGGAGAAAUCCCAUCUCUACUAAAAAUACAAAAUUAGCUGGGCAUGGUGGUGCAUGCCUGUAAUCCCAGUUACUCGGGAGGCUGAGGCAGGAGAAUCACUCGAACCCGAGAGGCAGAGGUUGUGGUGAGCUGAGAUUGUGCCAUUGCACUCCAGUCUGGGCAACAAGAGUGAAACUCUGUCUCAAAAAAAAAAAAAAAAAAAAAAAGCCCUAGGAAGAUUUCUUCAAACAGAUGAAGCUAAUGAUAUCCCCAGUGUGUUUGAAUAUAUUGAGAGAUCACACAAUAGGGACACUGUUUAGGGUUGAAUUAAUAGCAAGCAAA
RNAcentral lists this long non-coding RNA (1004 nucleotides) under Homo sapiens (human). RNAcentral describes it as "ERCC6L2 antisense RNA 1". Lineage: Eukaryota; Metazoa; Chordata; Mammalia; Primates; Hominidae. The record is from RNAcentral.